This 68-nucleotide transfer RNA is filed under the name Salmo salar (Atlantic salmon). It matches the Rfam family "tRNA". Rfam says of the family: Transfer RNA (tRNA) molecules are approximately 80 nucleotides in length. The record is from Rfam by way of RNAcentral. Lineage: Eukaryota; Metazoa; Chordata; Actinopteri; Salmoniformes; Salmonidae.
CCCUGUAGCUCAGUUGGUAGAGCAUGGUGUUUGCAACACCAGGGUUGUGGGUUUGAUUCCCACCGGGG